This is a long non-coding RNA of Oncorhynchus tshawytscha (Chinook salmon), 1195 nucleotides long. Lineage: Eukaryota; Metazoa; Chordata; Actinopteri; Salmoniformes; Salmonidae. The record is from Ensembl.
CAGUAAGAGAGUAAGCCUGACAGUAAGGGAGAGCACGGUUGACAGUAAAGGAGAGUAAGGUUGACAGUAAGGUUGACAGUAAGAUUGACAGUAAGGGAGAGGAAGGUUGACAGUAAGGUUGAGGAAGGUUGACAGUAAGGUUGAGUGUAAGAGAGAGCAAGGGAGAGUAAGGUUGACAGUAAGGGAUAGGAAGGUUGACAGUAAGGUUGAGUGUAAGAGAGAGCAAGGGAGAGUAAUGUUGACAGUAAGGUUGACAGUUAGAGAGAGUAAGGUUGACAGUAAGGGAGAGUAAGGUUGACAGUAAGGUUGACAGUUAGAGAGAGUAAGGUUGACAGUAAGGGAGAGUAAGGUUGACAGUAAGGUUGACAGUUAGAGAGAGUAAGGUUGACAGUAAGGGAGAGUAAGGUUGACAGUAAGGUUGACAGUUAGAGAGAGUAAGGUUGACAGUAAGGGAGAGUAAGGUUGACAGUAAGGUUGACAGUUAGAGAGAGUAAGGUUGACAGUAAGGGAGAGUAAGGUUGACAGUAAGGUUGACAGUAAGAGAGAGAGUAAGAUUGACAGUAAGGGAGAGGAAGGUUGACAGUAAGGUUGACAGUAAGAGAGAGUAAGGUUGACAGUAAGGUUGAGAGUAAGAGAGAGUAAAGUUGAGAGUAAGUUUGACAGUAAGGUUGACAGUAAGAGAGAGUAAGGUUGACAGUAAGGUUGAGAGUAAGAGAGAGUAAAGUUGAGAGUAAGGUUGACAGUAAGGGAGAGGAAGGUUGACAGUAAGGGAGAGUAAGUUUGACAGUAAGAUUGAGAGUAAUAGAGAGUAAAGAUGAGAGUAAGGUUGACAGUAUGGUUGAAAGUAAGAGAGCGUAAGAGAGAGUAAAGUUGAGCGUAAGGUUGAGCGUAAGGUUGACAGUAAGGUUGACAGUAAGGUUGAGAGUAAGAGAGAGUAAAGUUGAGAGUAAGGUUGACAGUAAGGUUGAGAAUAAGAGAGAGUAAAGUUGACAGUAAGGUUGACAGUAAGGUUGACAGUAAGGUUGAGAGUAAGAGAGAGUAAAGUUGAGAGUAAGGUUGAGAGUAAAGUUGAGAGUAAGAGAGAGUAAAGUUGAGAGUAAGGUUGACAGUAAGGUUGAGAAUAAGAGAGAGUAAAGUUGAGAGUAAGGUUGACAGUAAAGUUGACAGUAAGGUUGCAAGUAAAGUUGAGAGUAAG